This is a non-coding RNA of Pelobates cultripes (western spadefoot toad), 208 nucleotides long. Lineage: Eukaryota; Metazoa; Chordata; Amphibia; Anura; Pelobatidae. The record is from the annotation of a GenBank genome assembly.
AAUAGCAGCAGGAGGACUGGGCUCUUUAGCCGUGAGCUGAGGAAAAAGCACUGGGGUAAGAAGACCUUCUAAGGUGGACAGCAGCAGGAGACUUUGACUCUUGAGACAUGAACCUGAGGAAAAGCUGGAGGUCACAAUCCUACAGUGGGGAUAUUCACUCAGAACACCAGCAGAAGCAGACUUUGGAUGAGAGCUCAGGAAAAGGGUG